AGGGCUGUAGCUCAGUGGUGGAGCAUGUUUCUUGCAUGCAGAAGGUCACAGGUUCGAUCCUCUAGCUGCUCCA
Podarcis lilfordi (Lilford's wall lizard) is the source of this 73-nucleotide non-coding RNA. The record is from the annotation of a GenBank genome assembly. Lineage: Eukaryota; Metazoa; Chordata; Lepidosauria; Squamata; Lacertidae.